RNAcentral lists this ribosomal RNA (361 nucleotides) under uncultured fungus. Its description in RNAcentral is "eukaryotic LSU rRNA". The stretch from base 1 to 130 matches the Rfam family "5.8S ribosomal RNA", at positions 26 to 154 of the family's 154-position model. The record is from RNAcentral. Lineage: Eukaryota; Fungi.
UCUCAGAUCGAUGAAGAACGCAGCGAAAUGCGAUAAGUAAUGUGAAUUGCAGAUUUUCAGUGAAUCAUCGAAUCUUUGAACGCACCUUGCGCUCCUUGGUAUUCCGAGGAGCAUGCCUGUUUGAGUGUCAUUAAAUUCUCAACUCCGAUCGAUUUGUUUCGACCUCGGAGCUUGGACUUUGGAGUGUGCUGGCGUCGGUCGGCUCCUCUCAAAUGCAUCAGCGGAAUCUAACGUUUCGGACGUCAGUGUGAUAAUCACGUUGCGCUGUCAACCGAUCCUGAAAGGCCCGCUCAUAAUGGUCUUCGGACAACUUCAUAUCAAAUUUGACCUCAAAUCAGGUAGGACUACCCGCUGAACUUAA